This 337-nucleotide small RNA is filed under the name Histoplasma capsulatum var. duboisii H88. RNAcentral describes it as "Histoplasma capsulatum H88 hypothetical RNA". Lineage: Eukaryota; Fungi; Ascomycota; Eurotiomycetes; Onygenales; Ajellomycetaceae. The record is from RNAcentral.
AGGUGAUGCUGUUACAGAGUCUGUACGCUAGGUAAGGUUUCCGAAGCUGGCAAUUUGGUAAACACGGCAUAGUACUGUGCUGUAGGUCCAACUCGAUCAUGCUAUUCCUGCCGUGUAUUUCGAAAGAAAGACAUGUUCGCCUUCAUCGAUGAUGUUUAGAGGCGAGAUUUUGGGCAGCCAGAAAUACCAUAUGGUUUCUCGUCGCUUAUCCAUUGGCCGCUGCAAGAGCUUGAUGGAGUCCAGGUGAUAAAACACGCCAGCUGCUCGACCUGCAUGUAACAAAAGUGGGACGAUAUAAUCGGCAAAAGGAGGAGUGCAUGCAUUAAUUCAAAGUGGA